This is a long non-coding RNA of Catharus ustulatus (Swainson's thrush), 1947 nucleotides long. RefSeq lists it as uncharacterized. The record is from RefSeq and is a predicted model, not a curated record. The transcript has 3 exons. NCBI's taxonomy places the organism in Eukaryota, Metazoa, Chordata, Aves, Passeriformes, Turdidae.
GCCACCCUGAGCUCAGCCCAAAGCUUCUCCUGUGCAGGCAAAUGUUUAAGUGCCUGGAUGAACUGAAGGCUUUGAAGGUUAAGAACUGUGGUCAGUUAUUUUAUUUCUAUUUUAUUAGUCAGUAAUUUUUUAUUUUUUCAUGCUGCAAAGCUGCUGUUUGUUGUUCUUGUGUCAGAAUGACAGUCUGAGACACGUGGCUCAAGUAGGAAUGUUAGAUAUGCACUGUCAGGGCAGCACAAGGAUUUCCCCAGGUUUUAAUUCUGGUGGCUGCCUGUUAAACAGAAAACACUGUUUUCUCACAGGAGAAUGUAACUUUUUAUUUUUUCAGAAACCCUCAGUGAGGAAGGGAAUUAAUUUACACUUGAUGUGCACAACACUUCGCUGAAGCUUGUGUCUUCAGAUCACAAAGUUGUAAUUUCCAGCAUUGAGGGUAGAUUAUCAGUAAUUUCAAAGCCCAAAUGCUGGUUCAGAAAGCAGAACAUAAAGGGUGUGCACUGAAAACUAACAGCAUUUUCAAACCAGAAUACACCUUAAAUGAGCUAAAAAUUAACUGGCAUAAUUUAUCAACUUCUGUUUCCUCUCUGCUGAGUCCACCUGAGUUCCCUGAGCAGUGAGUAAAUAAAAACUUUCAUUCCAUUGUUUACUGAUAGACUUAUUGCUGUAAUAUAACUGAUAUUUUCUCAUUAGGAGCCCAAUAUUUCCCUGUAAUAAUUAAGAGGUAAUUGAAAAUGUGUUACCAGUCAUCAGCAGUAGGUGACUGUGCCCUCCUGGAAGAUUUGGCUUGGCAGGACUUCUGUUCUAUAAGCAGUGCAUUUUGGUGUUUCCCACUGGCAUUUUUGCAGCCAGAGGGAGUGACUGUUUAAGUCUUUAAACUUUUAAUUAAACCUUAGGCUGAAGGCAAACCGUAAGAGGCAUGGCAGGAGAAAGACGAGCAUGCAGGUCUUAAAUUGCCUUCCAGCAAGUCUUAAUUAGUAAAGUGAGUCUGUAUAUAAAUAUUAGCUGUAACUCGUUCCUCCUGUUAUUUGCUCCCUUUUGGUUUUGGUGUUUCCAGAGAAACAUUAUGUCAGGUGUGCACUGAGCCUGUAGGAGUGACAAAGUCAUGAACCUCCAGAGCCUGUCGUCAGUUCUUGCUGGAGCAGCCAAGGAUUUCAGCCAUUCUCCUGAGCACAUCCACCUUCCAGCUGCCCCUGAAGGCACGGAGGGACACGGGGCCCUGCUCCCCACACCUCAGCCCCAGGGUGGGCUCCAAGCAGACAGAAAACUGUCCUGAGCCUUGUCAUGACAGAGUAGGACUGAGCAAAGACACCCUGCAUUGGCUUAGUAGGUGUGCCACUGUCCAAAUUUAAUUUAAAACAUUAAUUAGUGAUGUGGAAUGAAGAAUGAGAAUACACCAUUUGUAUGAAGCAGCUGAGUUGUUCUGGCUGGCUGUAGAGAAGUCAUGGAGAGAGAGAGAAAGGUGACACAAGUGGAAAAUGUAGGUGACAACAAACCUUUGCUAAAUAAUCCAUGUGAGGAGUAUUUUGGUUGUGAAGGAACCCAGCAAUACAGCAGGAGCAGAGCAGGGUGUAAGACAUAGCUGGGUGUCCCUGUUUUGUGCAGGCUUACAAUUCCUUGUCUGGUAGAGCAGAGGGGGUGGGCAGGGCAUUGCUCUGGGUUAUUUGCUCAUCCCAGGCACUUUGCAGACCAUGAUUCUGCCAGGGUUCACAUCUUUGUGUGGGCUGGGGUCUGGAGUUGUUGUGUCCCAAAACACACUCCAAUCCCUCCCCAGCCCAGUGUGGAUCACUUUAUUUAGAACCUUGCUCCCUGAGUUUUGGGUGUCUCUGGGUCUGUUCCAAUAUUUGCCCACCCUUAUAGGAUGUACCCAGCAGUGUAAAUUCUAUCACCAUCAGUUAAACCAACUGGGGCAGUGUUCUUUAUCUCUCCACAGCCCAUCCUCCCUCCAGGAGA